This is a long non-coding RNA of Bos taurus (domestic cattle), 947 nucleotides long. NCBI's taxonomy places the organism in Eukaryota, Metazoa, Chordata, Mammalia, Artiodactyla, Bovidae. The record is from Ensembl.
UUCGGGAAUAGAAAUAGAAUCUUCCCAGGUGGCUCAGUGGUAAAGAAUCCGCCUGCCAAGGCAGGAGAGAUGCAGGGAUUUCAGCUUUAUUUAAGGAUCUCUUAUGAUGCACCCUACUUUGAUCAAGCUCUGGACUUAAAACUCUCCAUCCCAUCCCCAUCAACCUCCAAAGCAGAAGACCAAGGUGCCAGCAUCUGGCAGAAACUUCCAGGGUGGAGCUAAAAAGAAUUUCCAAAGAUGAUAACCAAUGGACUUUUGUUGGAGAAAAACAAAUAGCAUGCCAGUCUGGACUGAUGUUGAAGCUGAAACUCCAAUACUUUGGCCACCUGAUGUGAAGAGCUGACUCAUUGGAAAAGACCCUGAUGCUGGGCAAGAUUGAAGGCAGGAGGAGAAGGGGACGACAGAGGAUGAGAUGGUUGGAUGGCAUCACCGACUCGAUGGACAUGGGUUUGGGUGGACUCCAGGAGUUGGUGAUGGACAGGGAGGCCUGGCAUGCUGCGGUUCAUGGGUUCGCAAAGAGUCAGACGACUGAGUGACUGAACUGAACUGAACUACCUCUCGAAGAGGCUCCCAGAAAUAACAAUGCUAUCCUACACCUGAAACUAUCAUGUCAAAUGUGUUAAUAAUUACAAUAGCUAGUGUCCUUCAGGGUAGGCUGAUUAUCAUUUGCAGAACUCUAGGUAAUGAUAUGUAUUACCUCAGCCUUCACAAUAACCAUCUGCAGGAGACAUUAUCGUUAGUUCCAUUUUACAGAUAAGGAAACUGAAGAGCGGAAUGGUUAAGUAAUUUGCCCAAAGAAUGUGGUGGAAGUGGGAGGUGCUUGGGUUCCGGAACACAUGCCCCUAGCCUUACCAGCUCUGUUAGAAGAUAAACAAUCAGUGAAAAACUAGCUUCCUAAAAAAUACAGCCCAUAUCAGAUUAUUCAGGAGGACUGAAUAAUCUAAUAU